RNAcentral lists this ribosomal RNA (492 nucleotides) under uncultured bacterium. Its description in RNAcentral is "partial 16S ribosomal RNA". It matches the Rfam family "Bacterial small subunit ribosomal RNA", at positions 30 to 507 of the family's 1533-position model. The record is from RNAcentral.
AUUGAACGCUGGCGGCAUGCUUUACACAUGCAAGUCGAACGGUAACAGGCCUUCGGGUGCUGACGAGCGGCGAACGGGUGCGUAAUGCAUCGGAACGUGCCCAGAGCUGGGGGAUAACGCAGCGAAAGCUGUGCUAAUACCGCAUGUGAUCUGAGGUUGAAAGCGGGGGACCAGGCAGCAAUGUUUGGCCUCGCGCCUUUGGAGUGGCCGAUGUCAGAUUAGGUAGUUGGUGGGGUAAAGGCCUACCAAGCCGACGAUCUGUAGCUGGUCUGAGAGGACGAUCAGCCACACUGGAACUGAGACACGGCCCAGACUCCUACGGGAGGCAGCAGUGGGGAAUUUUGGACAAUGGGCGCAAGCCUGAUCCAGCAAUGCCGCGUGCGGGAAGAAGGCCUUCGGGUUGUAAAACGCUUUUGUACGGAGAGAAAAGGCUCUGGCUAAUACCUGGGGCUGAUGACGGUACCGUAAGAAUAAGCACCGGCUAACUACGUG